UAUGUCUCUUUAGCGGCUCGGUUUGCUUGGAUCAUACUCUCCGGCUUCUAAUGGAGAUGUUGAUGAUGUCGGCUCUUGGUGGCACUCCGGUUGCUGGAAGAGCCCCUCUUCCUUAGGGAUCCACGGGGACAGAGCAAGAUUCAAAAAACUCAGAGACACAGAUAACAUUAACCUUGAAAACUCACAAGUAUUUCACAGCUCAUCGAUGUCAGUGAGUUAACAAUCAAAGGGAAUUUUACUCGAAUUGAGAAUGGCAGUAAGAGGACCUAGAUAUAUGGCAGCAGGUAUAGAGGCCGGCGCUGAUUGAGAAGGCGAUGAGUGCGACUCCGAGCCCGUCGGUGGCCGCCGAGAGGGAGAAGCAGAGGAGGAGAGAUGUUCGCGUCGGUUUCUUCUCUCUUUUUCUAUAGGGAUGGGGAUUUGGGAAGUGGCCGUUGGUGGUGGAAUGAAUCAGCGUUCUCAUUGCUGCCCCUCUCUUUCCUCGUCAGCGGCGUCAGGGCGUGUCGAUGGUCAAGUUAACCCCGCCGUCACGCACGGUCGAAACAUGGCGAAGAGAUAGACGGACGGCUGAGAUGGGCCUGUCGAUGAUCAAGUUAACCACGUCGUCACGCGCGGAGGUGGACCCCGGACAGCGAAGCUUUUUUGGCAGGUAGGGACCGCUGCUAUCUUAUCGCGUUAUUGGUGGGGGCGUGGGUGGAAAUACUGCUGGUAAUUUAUUGCACCAACCAACGUGGUUGGCUUCUCGCACGCUCCCUGUCAAUAAUUGGCGGAGGUGGAACCUGGCGAGUGCCAAUUUUCUAACCCUAUUAACUAUUUUAAAAAAAUACUCAAUAGCAUAAGUCGAGUUGUGCACAGAAUUAUUGAUUUGAUGAACUUUACUUGAAUGACUGAAAUAUUCCCACCCA
Zingiber officinale is the source of this 902-nucleotide long non-coding RNA. RefSeq lists it as uncharacterized. The transcript has 2 exons. The record is from RefSeq and is a predicted model, not a curated record. NCBI's taxonomy places the organism in Eukaryota, Viridiplantae, Streptophyta, Magnoliopsida, Zingiberales, Zingiberaceae.